UCCUUCUUUGGCAAGCGUUGUCCGGAAUUAUUGGGCGUAAAGCGCGCGCAGGCGGUUCCUUAAGUCUGAUGUGAAAGCCCCCGGCUCAACCGUGGAGGGUCAUUGGAAACUGGGGGACUUGAGUGCAGAAGAGGAGAGCGGAAUUCCACGUGUAGCGGUGAAAUGCGUAGAGAUGUGGAGGAACACCAGUGGCGAAGUCGGCGCUCUGGUCUGUAACUGACGCUGAGGCGCGAAAGCGUGGGGAGCAAACAGG
RNAcentral lists this ribosomal RNA (253 nucleotides) under uncultured bacterium. RNAcentral describes it as "partial 16S ribosomal RNA". It matches the Rfam family "Bacterial small subunit ribosomal RNA", at positions 524 to 776 of the family's 1533-position model. The record is from RNAcentral.